UCAUACUGUUCUUAAAUAAUUUGGCCCUUCAGUCAUGAUUGUACCUUGUGACCCUCCCAAUGCAAAUCUAAAGAAUCCUGUAUGUUUGCUUAGUAUUUAUGUGCUUCUGACUGGAUCUGGAGCGUUAGCUACAUCACCACUUUCAAGAUGAAGAAUGUACUCUGCUUACUGCUGCUCUCAUUCAGCAUAUACCGUAUAAAAUGUCAAAAAAUGGAGUCCAUUGAAAGCACGGUUCAGAAAAAGCCUGGAGAAACUCUGACUCUGUCCUGUAGAGGAUCUGGGUUCAGCUUUGACUGCUGUAGCAUGCACUGGAUCAGACAACAAGCUGGAAAACCUCUUGUGUGGAUUGGACGUGUUUAUAGUGAUGGCAGUGGAAAUGACUACGCAGAAUCCUUCAAUAGACGAACUGAAAUCACUAGAGAUAAUUCAAAGAAUAUGGUCCAUCUGAAACUGUCGGGCCUGACAACAGAAGACUCAGCCACAUAUUACUGUGCAAAACAAACACAGUGACACAAAGUUAUUGCACGGCUGAACAAAAAACACUUUGAGUGUUUCAUCUCUUGUCUAGUUCAACAGGUGGCAGCAGAGAAUAAAAAAUCCUGAAAAUACAGACUAAUGAGAAGAUAUACCAU
Molecule: non-coding RNA, 632 nt
Organism: Rhinichthys klamathensis goyatoka
Lineage: Eukaryota; Metazoa; Chordata; Actinopteri; Cypriniformes; Leuciscidae
Source: the annotation of a RefSeq genome assembly